This 1680-nucleotide unclassified non-coding RNA is filed under the name Dimorphilus gyrociliatus. RNAcentral's name for it is "pKS_ER domain-containing protein". Lineage: Eukaryota; Metazoa; Annelida; Polychaeta; Dinophilidae. The record is from RNAcentral.
UAUAUGUAUAAAACACAGAUGCUUCCAAUAUACUCACUCAAACACAAAAUACAAAGAUAAUACUUAAUUCAUGGUCGUCUUCUGUAUUGUAGAAAAAAAGAGGGAGAGAAAUAGACCAUUUUGCUGUUUUACACAAACUGUUACCAUUUUUUUAGUAUUGUAUAUGCUUUUAAAAAGAGUAGAUAAUUGAUUAUUUAAAAACGCCAAAAUUACAUAUGUUGUCCUUGAUAGUUUAUUCAAUUUUACAUUAGUACUAUAUAUAACUUUAAAAAUUUCAGUUUCGAACUCUUAAUAGUAAUUUGUUUAUCUAAAAUAUAAUAGAAGAUUGGAAUAUGCAAUUUUACAUGACUUUCUAAAAUAAGCAUCUGUUCUCGACCCAGUUUUUGGUCUUUUUAAAACCUGCAUACACAUCCAAUGUUUCACUGAAUCAGAAAGUAUAGUUAUUGAAGGAAUAUUUCGCUUCAACUUGUAAAGUAUCUGCCCGACCUACCAGUUAUUAAAAUUGGGUUAGGCUUUACGUUCAGGACAAUUCGUUUGUUAACGUCGCGUAGCAGAUUCAUAGCAUCCAUAUCAAUCUGUCAAUCUACUAAUCUACAUUUCUAUUCAACAAAAGUUAACUCACUUGCUAUGAAAGGUAUCCGAGUCGAAGAGUUUGGAGAUCCAUCCGUACUAAAUUACGUUACGGACUUAGAGAUACCAAAACCAACUGGUAGCCAAGUUCUUGUUCGGAUCAAAGCAGUUGGCAUAAAUCCUGUUGAGACAUACAUUCGCAGUGGCACAUAUGCCAGGAAACCCGAUUUGCCUUAUACUCCUGGAACUGAUAGUGCCGGUAUUGUUGAAUCAGUAGGAAAUACUGUAGCAGUAUUAAAACCUGGACAAAGAGUAUACACAACAGCUUCUCUAACUGGUACCUACGCUGAAUAUUGUUUAGUCGAAGAGAAUCAUGUAUAUCCUCUACCUGAAAAUAUCACUUUUGAGCAAGGUGCUUGUUUAUCAAUACCUUACUAUACUGCUCAUAGAGCAAUUUUUCUCAAGGGCGGAGCUAAGCCUGGUCAAAAUAUUUUUAUUCAUGGAGCAAGCGGCGCAGUGGGAUUAGCUGCGUGUCAAAUGGCAGCUGCAAAUGGCCUUAAAGUAUUCGGUACCGCAGGAACUGAAGAAGGAAUUAAAAUAGUCAAACAGAACGGCGCCAUUGAGUGUUUUAAUCAUAGAAAAGAAAAUUAUAUGGAGGAUUUAAUGAAAGCAACCGGUGGCAGAGGAUUCAAUAUCAUCGUUGAAAUGCUUGCAAAUGUGAAUCUUGUAGCGGAUACAACAGUUUUAACAGACGAUGGAAUAAUUCUUAUUGUUGGGAAUCGAGGUAGUUUAGAGUUCAAUCCAAGAUGUUUAAUGCCAAAAGAACUAGCAAUUCGAGGAAUUGCUUUAGCCCAUGGAUCUUUGGAUGAAAAGAAGGAGGCUGCUAAGUUUUUGGAUGAAGGAAUGAGAAAAAAUUUGCUAAAUCCAAUUGUUUAUAAGACCUUUAAUUUGAAAGAUACUGCAAAAGCUCAUAUUGAAGUUAUAGAACACUCUGGAGGGAGCAAAGGAAAUAUCGUUGUUCAAAUUGAUUGAUUAGAAUAACAAAUAUAUUUUAAUAUUAUUUUUGAUCAGUUUGCUUUUAUUCUUCAUAAAUAAAUAUCUCUGAAAUUG